ACUGUAAAUAAAUGAAGAACAGAUACGCAAGACUAAUUAUUUGAGGGAGCCGAGGAAACGAGUAAGAUAUCGAAAACGUAAAGCGCACCACAAUCAGAAAAGCAUUAGAUGAUUUAUUCAAGUUUCACACGCUUGAACUGAAGUGCAGUGAUCUCUGUGGAUGAAGCUGUAGCCGGGACUGGACAGGAAGCGCUUGGCGUUCAUUGUAAAGCCCGUAUUCCCCCUGAGAAAAUUGCACACCUGUCACGCAGUUGUCAUUGCCCCGCCGCCGAUUAAAUAGUUCUAAUGAACUUUUACGCAACCUUUAACAUAUUUUUUGCGGCGCAUUGACAAUUAAACCGGAAAAACUAAACACGAUGCAAUAGAAGAGUUUCAAAUAUGCUGCAAGCAUGACGUUGAUGACAACAGCUCGGCUCUCAGUCGCUGCAACAAGCUGCAAGAGUUAAUGACAGCCCCAACAGAGACAAAACAAAAAAAAUAAAAGAAAAAACGAGUUACGAUCGCCGUCUUUUUGCUCUGUCUAGAGCUGGCUUCAGUAUUCUGGCAGGCAGCAAAACUUGGCCUGUCUUAAAGUUGACUGGUUUUGCACUUAAAUGGAGCCCGAUAUCUAGCGCUAUGUGUGCGAGGGAAGUGAGGAAAAUGGCCGAGAAGCAAGUCCACAGCUGUGCGGCCUUAUAUAACAAACGUGCUGUGUUGGGGUAGUUGGUCAUUUACGGCAUACGAUGAUGUGUUUCGUGGAACGAAAGUGAAGUUUAUCUAUGAGAUACGUGUAAUUUUGUUAGAUACCAACAGGGACGAGACGCAGAUGAUCUUACUCUCUCGUACUGGCUGGCAUUCCCAAACGAUUUGCAGGCUCCGGCAUCGAGUGCUUCGCUUCAAAUGAA
Non-coding RNA from Drosophila virilis, 884 nucleotides. The record is from RefSeq and is a predicted model, not a curated record. NCBI's taxonomy places the organism in Eukaryota, Metazoa, Arthropoda, Insecta, Diptera, Drosophilidae.